RNAcentral lists this unclassified non-coding RNA (325 nucleotides) under uncultured fungus. Its description in RNAcentral is "partial contains 5.8S ribosomal RNA and internal transcribed spacer 2". The stretch from base 1 to 133 matches the Rfam family "5.8S ribosomal RNA", at positions 22 to 154 of the family's 154-position model. The record is from RNAcentral. Lineage: Eukaryota; Fungi.
UGGUUCUGGCAUNGAUGAAGAACGCAGCGAAAUGCGAUAAGUAAUGUGAAUUGCAGAAUUCAGUGAAUCAUCGAAUCUUUGAACGCAUAUUGCGCCCCUUGGCAUUCCGAGGGGCAUGCCUGUUCGAGCGUCAUCAACAUCCCCUCAAGCACUGCUUGGUUACUGGGUCUCGCGGCUCACCCUGCCCGCGGGCCUUAAAAUCAGUGGCGGCGUCUUCAGGCUCUGAACGUAGUACAACAUUCCUCGUUACGGAGUCCUGGUGGCGGUAGCCAUCAACCUUCAACCUUCUAAGUUUGACCUCGGAUCAGGUAGGGAUACCCGCUGA